CGACACCGUGUGCGUGCACGUGUAACAACAACAGACAUAGCCUUGCCAAGCCCUGACUCACUUCCGCUCUCGCCCUCUUCUCCCUCUGCCCACCACCCGCCUCGCUCCUCGUCAGCUGUGCUGCGCAGUGUCGACCGCCUUAUCGCUCUUUCUCCCGUUCACAUCCGUGUUGCCCUUGUUUGCUUUCGGCGUUGCGGAGCCGCGCAAAUGGCGUGCAACAUCAGUAUUGCCAUCUACAUCAUCCUCCAGUUCAUCGCGUUCUUUUUCGUGCUGGUGGGUACGCCGCUCGACAUGUUUCGCGGCACGAACAAGGAGGUUGCGUUCUCGCAUUUCUGCUUGACGUUGUGGGGCGCAAAAUGGGGCUGCUCCAACAGUUCGUACUUUCUCAAGUCGGACGAGGUGUGGACGAAUUGUACGGGCCGCCGCAACCGCUUCCGCGCUGCUCAGGCAUUGGCUGUGAUCUCCAUCUUCCUGUAUGGCGCGGCGUUCGUCUUGGGCAUCUUUUUUCUGCUCUGCUGCCCUUUCUUUCGCUGGGUGUGCCUGGUUCUCAACAUCGUUGGCAUCUUCUCCUUGGGCAUUGUCUGGGCGGCCGUGGUGUUGACUCACUACGCAGAUGAGGAUGACCAUUGCCCCAAGAUGGAGCGCUUCUUUAAGUUGGGCGUCGGCUUCGCUUUCUUCUUGGUGGCCUGGUGCCUGGAUAUCAUCAACAUCUUCUUAUUGAUGAUCCGGUGCGAGGAUCAGAAGUUUGGCGAGAGUGGGAAUCCGGGAUUAUAUACAACAGGCGGACAGGAGGAACUGAAGUGAAGGAGGUGGCGGGCAAACUACUUCGGCUCCGCGGGCUUCUCCGUACAGACGCCAUGGGGUGGGGGAUCCGGCGGAGCUGAUGUCUGCGCGAGAAGGGAGGGAAGACGCGGACUCUCGUCGCUGCUUCUCGCCGCCUCACCUCUCGCGCUGCCGUCUCUCGCGUGUGUGCGUCCUCCCACGCGCGUCUGCUUGGGGGGCUUUUCGGCUUCCUCGCGUGCAAGGUAACCUGCGCUGUGUGGUGGGCAACGCACGCCUGGCGCCGGCAGGCCCACCCACGCCCCGUUCCCCCCCCCCCUGAGCCCCUCGCCCUCGCUGCCGUGUCGGAGUCGCCCGUCUGACGCUCGCCCGGCGCUCCGUUGGCGAUGUGAAGGAGCGAAGGACGACGCGGGACGGUGACACGUGCGCUGCAGGCCUGGAAACGGCGGCGUGGAGGGGGAGCGAAGGAGGGGCAGGUGACCGAGGUGGACACGGAGGACAAACGUGGCGGUGUGGAGAAACGGACGCCCUCGCACGGAGGACGGGAGGCGCCACGCCACGCUGCAUCGGUCGCCCGCCCCCUCCACACCCCGCAGUCGCGAUGGCGCGUCUUCCUGGUGUGUCUCCCUCGCGCCGCCUUUGGCCCCGUCGCUGCCGCUGCGACUCCCCCGCGCCCCUGGCGGCACACCCGCGAGGGGAAGAGGCAGCACAGCGGCGCGAAGACGCAGGCCGAGCACAGUCUCCCCGCACCCCCCCUCCGCACGCACGCGCAUAUGCUGCCGUUUUUUUCGUUUCUCUUUCCGUGUUUUCGCUUCGUUUGACAUUCGCAUGUUUCUUUUGAUUUCUCUCGUUUUCGUCUCUCUCCCUAUGCAGAGAAGAGCCGCAUGGACGUGUGCGUGUGCGUGCCCCUCUGCCGUUUUCCCGUUGUGUCUCCGUGCCGCUGCCCUGCUCCUCGUCUUCCCCGCCCCUCCCUGCGCGCGUGUGUGUGUGCGAGGGCGGCUGAUCGAGGGGACGACGAGGUGGAGAGCAGCCGCGGCACCGCAGCGCUGGGGAUACAUGGGGAGUGUGCAGGAGCAGCGGAGGAGAGGCACGCACACGCACUCUGGCAAGGGAGCGAUGACGCGGAGGCCGCAGGGGAAUACGCAGCGGAGCGAGUGGGUACGGAGGCGGAGCGGAGGCGAGGCAGUGUUGCUUCUCUGUUCGCCCCGCUUGCGUUCGACUCGAGUGUGUCUGCGUGUGCGUCCCCUGCGGCCCUCGGGCCCCUCGCCUCUCUUGCGCGCUUCGCUUCGUUUGUUUCGUUGCUGUGGCUGUCUAACUACACUUUCGAGUCGGCCAGAGUCCCGUGUGGAGAUUAUUCACACCAUAUUACGGCAUGCGGCGGCUUGAGGCGACCGAGGGAGGGGCAUGGCGUGCAGGCGGAGCACAAGGUGUCAGAGGGCCCUGGCCUGCGGCUGGCCCACCUCCUCUCUGUGCUCAUGCGGCACGCGCCUACACCAGCCCCUGCGGCCAGCACGGCUGACGUCGCCGCCUCCGCCCUCGAGGAGGAAGCCUGGCCGCGGCCUGCCUGGACCGAUGCAUGCCGCCCACCCGGGUCUGCGUCUGGCGCCGCUAGCGCCGCAGGUGCCCGAGGAAUGGACGAGCAAAGACAAGGCGGGCCGCUAGCGGCAUGGCUCGAUACCCCAGCAGACGACUUGUCUUCGCCGGCGCGGAUGUAGCCGUGGCGCAACAGAGGGGCGUGUGAGCUGUGCGCGAAUGCGUACAUGUGCCGACUUGCCCGUCGCGGAGUAAGAUUUUUAUAUUUAAAUACGCUGUUUUUCCUGGCAAACACGCGUAGCAGAAACUAGUAAGUGCAGCGGCAUGGCGACGAGUAUACAUAUACACUAUACACAUAUGUCUAUCUGUAUCUAGAGCGCUGCACCGUCAAUCCGUCAAAACGCCACGCACUUUGUUUUCCCCGCCGACCACCGCCCCCUGUGCUCUCCCGAGCGGGCGGAGCGCGUGCGCGUGCGUCCCUCUCUCCUCGCGCUUCUCCGUUGCUUGCUUUUUGCUUUCUGUCAUUAUUGUCUCCGUUCCUCGACUG
RNAcentral lists this unclassified non-coding RNA (2860 nucleotides) under Leishmania donovani. RNAcentral's name for it is "gene:LdHU3.34.1670(CDS-product:amastin-like_surfa ce_protein_putative)". The record is from RNAcentral. Lineage: Eukaryota; Euglenozoa; Kinetoplastea; Trypanosomatida; Trypanosomatidae.